AAAAUUAAAAUACAAAAGAAAGAAAAAAAGUGUUAUUGUACCUUUUUGGAUCUGGGCGGAAGGGAAUCGUGAUCGUCCAAGGAAUCUAAAAGCAUCUGCUUUUUAAAUGACUACCGUUGGAUUCUGGAUCCGAUUUGUCGUUAUCGCAACUGAUUUGGCCCGUGGUUCGUCGGCGAAGGGCAAGGGCACCGACGUGUUUAUUUCCUUUCUUCUCCCCCGCCGUCGCUCUCUACAGUGAACGCGACGUGAGAAUCGAGAUCUUAAUGCGUUACCAAGCUCUGUGAUGUCUAGAUCUUAAUGGCUUUUUUUUUUUUUUUUUUUGUUGCCGUCGUUCAAAUAGUCAGAUUCAGGCUUUCGUUUCGGCACAACACCAUUUAGCGCUCCGAUUCCCCAUUUUGAAGAGGUUAAUUGUUCGAAAUCGCUCAUUGAAGAGGAAUGGUAAAGGACGAUGAAGAAUCAGAGAGCCCGGAUGAGCAACAACAUUUAAAGGCAGAGAGAGGAAGGCAGAGAUUCAGAUAAGGGGCUGUUUCAAUUAUCCCAAGACUGAAGAGUAACUUUAAGCAGCAGCAGAGAGAGGGAGUUCUGAUAAGGAGCUAUGGGAAUCAUCCCAAGGCUGAGUGAACAGGUUUAAGGAGGAAAAGACAGCAGAAAAUACAAAGAUAGGCUAUGGGGAGAUGGUGAGUGGCAGCUCGCUCUCCAUUCUCCAAUGAACUAAAACAAAAUUGUGCAGCUGUAUGGAAUAUGGAUCCAAAUGAUGCUGUAAAUUUCUUGUUGGCAGUAGCAGAACAGACAGCGAUGGCUGCUGCAACCUUGCAUGGACUCAAUAUUUUACACCUCAAGAAUCUGAGUUCUUCCAAGGGUACGUUUUUUCAUAACCUCUUAUCUCACAAAUUCUUUUUAUGAAUCACGUUUGAAUGAUUCAUUACACAUCUUAAUGAAAGCACUCUUAAUUAAA
Molecule: long non-coding RNA, 955 nt
Organism: Cucurbita maxima (winter squash)
Lineage: Eukaryota; Viridiplantae; Streptophyta; Magnoliopsida; Cucurbitales; Cucurbitaceae
Exons: 3
Source: RefSeq, a predicted model, not a curated record